RNAcentral lists this ribosomal RNA (274 nucleotides) under uncultured bacterium. RNAcentral's name for it is "partial 16S ribosomal RNA". It matches the Rfam family "Bacterial small subunit ribosomal RNA", at positions 523 to 796 of the family's 1533-position model. The record is from RNAcentral.
AUACGGAGGGGGCGAGCGUUGUUCGGAAGUAUUGGGCGUAAAGAGCAUGUAGGCGGGCUGUUAAGUCUGGUGUGAAAGCCCGGGGCUCAACCCCGGAAGUGCAUUGGAUACUGGCAGACUUGAGUAUGGGAGAGGAAAGCGGAAUUCCGAGUGUAGGAGUGAAAUCCGUAGAUAUUCGGAGGAACACCAGUGGCGAAGGCGGCUUUCUGGACCAAUACUGACGCUGAGAUGCGAAAGCGUGGGGAGCAGACAGGAUUAGAGACCCCAGUAGUCC